GCCCUUGUAUUUCAAUGGUAGAAUGCGUGACUUCUAUUCUUAUUAUAAGAGUUAUCUCGAGGCUGUGGGUUCGAGCCCCACCAAGGGCU
This is a non-coding RNA of Aspergillus hancockii, 89 nucleotides long. The record is from the annotation of a GenBank genome assembly. NCBI's taxonomy places the organism in Eukaryota, Fungi, Ascomycota, Eurotiomycetes, Eurotiales, Aspergillaceae.